This 73-nucleotide transfer RNA is filed under the name Emiliania huxleyi. RNAcentral's name for it is "tRNA-Lys". It matches the Rfam family "tRNA". Rfam says of the family: Transfer RNA (tRNA) molecules are approximately 80 nucleotides in length. Their secondary structure includes four short double-helical elements and three loops (D, anti-codon, and T loops). Further hydrogen bonds mediate the characteristic L-shaped molecular structure. tRNAs have two regions of fundamental functional importance: the anti-codon, which is responsible for specific mRNA codon recognition, and the 3' end, to which the tRNAs corresponding amino acid is attached (by aminoacyl-tRNA synthetases). tRNAs cope with the degeneracy of the genetic code in two manners: having more than one tRNA (with a specific anti-codon) for a particular amino acid; and 'wobble' base-pairing, i.e. permitting non-standard base-pairing at the 3rd anti-codon position. Lineage: Eukaryota; Haptophyta; Isochrysidales; Noelaerhabdaceae. The record is from RNAcentral.
UAAUGCGUAGCUUAAUUGGUAGAGCAAUUGGCUUUUAACCAAUUUGUUAUGAGUUCAAAUCUCAUCGCAUUAA